GGGGUUGUGGCUCAGUAGUAGAACACCUGCUUUGCAUGUAGAAAGUUUCAAGUUCAAUCCCUGGCAUCUCCA
RNAcentral lists this transfer RNA (72 nucleotides) under Sphaerodactylus townsendi. RNAcentral's name for it is "tRNA-Ala". It matches the Rfam family "tRNA". Rfam says of the family: Transfer RNA (tRNA) molecules are approximately 80 nucleotides in length. Their secondary structure includes four short double-helical elements and three loops (D, anti-codon, and T loops). The record is from RNAcentral. Lineage: Eukaryota; Metazoa; Chordata; Lepidosauria; Squamata; Sphaerodactylidae.